CCAGGCUGCUAUCGCUGCUGCCGCUGCUGCCGCUGCUGCUGCUACCGCUACCGCCGCUGCUAGGGAUGCUGAUGCUGCCGCUGCCGGAGAUAGAUACUGAGGAUGCUCCCGCGGCCUCCCCGCCGCCCCCCUCUCCCUUUUCCACUCUUCCCUGGACGGCUUUUCCAUUCUCCUGGUGCCUCCUGCGCGGGCGCCAGCCAACCAGCCAGCCAAGGACAGGGCUCCUUCGCGGCUUCUGCGGUGCCCCACGCCGCCCACCGCCGCCGCUGAGAGGCUCCCCUCAGCCGGCGCGCCUCACCUCGAUGCCCGUCCUUCAGGUGUGGCCCUGAGCGUGGCGAUGGCACCAGUGGAUGGCUCUCUGACGCAGUGCGAUAAUUUUUCCACAGCCUAAAAUACACCCGAAAUCAUUCAUGUGGGGCAAUGAGAAGAGAGUGAAGUUUGAAGUCAGGGCUUGGGUUCAAAUUGUGACAAUUUUUAAUGCCCGUGUUGGGCUGAGUAAGUCGGUUAUCACCUCAGACCUCAGUGUUCUCCUCAGUUAAAUAAAUGAAGUAUAAAAGCAGGUUGGAAAUUUGUCACUGGAAUAAAAUAAAGGGGGAAAAAUAAGUAAAAGCAGGUUGGCAGGCAGCUAAAUGGUUCUGUGGAUAGAGAGCCCAGCUUAGAGAUAGAAGGUCCUGGGUUCAAAUAUGGCUUUGGAUAUUUCCUAGCUGGAUGACCCCGACCAAGUCAUUUAACACCUACUGCCUAGCCCUUACCACUCUUCUGCCUUGAACCGAUGCACGGUAUUGAUUCUAAGACAGAAGGUAGGGGCUUAAAAAAAGGCAGGUUGGCAUUGCCCUAACAUAGUUCAUUGGGGGGUGGAUUUGGAGGGCACCUUUAGGGAUCUGGUUUAGCCCCCUCUCUUUACAGAUGGAGAAGCGGAGGCCCAGACAGACAAAGGGAUCUGCUUCGGCACAAGCCCACAGAUCUGAUGAGUGGCAGAGCCAGGCUUUGUUUGCAGGCUUAAACUCAAGGUUCUUGUUGGCCCACCCCAUCCAUUAAAGCCCUCAAGGUUACAUUGCUUAACCCUCCAUCUCUGGUGUGCCUGGGGUGGCUGGACCUGCGAUUUCAUAGACAAGGAGACUUCUGCAGGGAGAAACUCCCCCUUCCGAUGCAUUUGGCUCUUGCCUGGCACCUUAGGCUGCUAGGAAACAUCUCCUGGCUGUGGCACCGGGGAGGGGGCAGGAGAUGUGAGAGGAGAGACUGGAGCCCAGAUUUUCCAGACCCCAGACCAGUUCUCUACCACUAAGCCCCACUGGGUCCCAGGAAUGACCAUGACAUCACAGAGUGCCUUCGCUGACUCCCGUCACUUCAUCGGGAGUCUUACCACAACCUUGAGUGCUUCCAGGCCUGGCUUGUUUAAAGGAUGAGUGAGCUGCCCAAGAAGCAUUUCCAAUUGCUCAUUCAAUGAGUCACAGUGGGCAGU
Monodelphis domestica (gray short-tailed opossum) is the source of this 1462-nucleotide non-coding RNA. The record is from RefSeq and is a predicted model, not a curated record. NCBI's taxonomy places the organism in Eukaryota, Metazoa, Chordata, Mammalia, Didelphimorphia, Didelphidae.